Molecule: ribosomal RNA, 275 nt
Filed under: uncultured prokaryote
Description: partial 16S ribosomal RNA
Rfam family: Bacterial small subunit ribosomal RNA
Source: RNAcentral
UACGGAGGAUGCGAGCGUUAUCCGGAUUUAUUGGGUUUAAAGGGUGCGUAGGCGGGACCAUAAGUCAGCGGUGAAAGUUUUCGGCUCAACCGGAAAAUUGCCGUUGAAACUGUGGUUCUUGAGUGCAGAAGAGGUAGGCGGAAUUCGUUGUGUAGCGGUGAAAUGCGUAGAUAUAACGAAGAACACCAAUUGCGUAGGCAGCUUACCAUACUGCAACUGACGCUGAGGCACGAAAGUGUGGGUAUCAAACAGGAUUAGAUACCCCUGUAGUCCCU